AACGAACGCUGGCGGCAGGCUUAACACAUGCAAGUCGAACGCCCCGCAAGGGGCGUGGCAGACCGGUGCGUAACGCGUGGGAAUCUACCCAUCCCUACGGAAUAACGCAUGGAAACGUGUUCUAAUACCGUAUACGCCCUACGGGGGAAAGAUUUAUCGGGGAUGGAUGAGCCCGCGUUGGAUUAGCUAGUUGGUGGGGUAAAGGCCUACCAAGGCGACGAUCCAUAGUUGGUCUGAGAGGAUGAUCAGCCACAUUGGGACUUAGACACGGCCCAAACUCCUACGGGAGGCAGCAGUGGGGAAUAUUGGACAAUGGGCGCAAGGCUGAACCAGCCAUGCCGCGUGAGUGAUGAAGGCCUUAGGGUUGUAAAGCUCAUUCACCGGAGAAGAUAAUGACGGUAUCCGGAGAAGAAGCCCCGGCUAACUUCGUG
RNAcentral lists this ribosomal RNA (431 nucleotides) under uncultured bacterium. Its description in RNAcentral is "partial 16S ribosomal RNA". It matches the Rfam family "Bacterial small subunit ribosomal RNA", at positions 29 to 507 of the family's 1533-position model. The record is from RNAcentral.